Molecule: ribosomal RNA, 222 nt
Filed under: Burkholderia cepacia
Lineage: Bacteria; Pseudomonadati; Pseudomonadota; Betaproteobacteria; Burkholderiales; Burkholderiaceae
Also listed under: 2 other names
Description: partial 23S ribosomal RNA
Rfam family: Bacterial large subunit ribosomal RNA
Source: RNAcentral
GGUCAAGCGAACAAGUGCAUGUGGUGGAUGCCUUGGCGAUCACAGGCGAUGAAGGACGCGGUAGCCUGCGAAAAGCUACGGGGAGCUGGCAAACGAGCUUUGAUCCGUAGAUGUCCGAAUGGGGAAACCCACUCCUUUUGGAGUAUCCAUGGCUGAAUACAUAGGCCAUGCGAAGCGAACGCGGUGAACUGAAACAUCUAAGUAACCGCAGGAAAAGAAAUC